GAUGAAGAACGCAGCGAAAUGCGAUAAGUAAUGUGAAUUGCAGAAUUCAGUGAAUCAUCGAAUCUUUGAACGCACAUUGCGCCACCUGGUAUUCCGGGGGGCAUGCCUGUCCGAGCGUCAUUACAACCCUCAAGCUCAGCUUGGUGUUGGGCCCCGCCGCCCCGGCGGGCCCUAAAGUCAGUGGCGGUGCCGUCCGGCUCCGAGCGUAGUAAUUCUUCUCGCUCUGGAGGUCCGGUCGUGUGCUCGCCAGCAACCCCCAAUUUUUUUCAGGUUGACCUCGGAUCAGGUAGGGAUACCCGCUGAACUUAAGCAUAUCAAUAAGCGGAGGA
Molecule: unclassified non-coding RNA, 329 nt
Filed under: soil metagenome
Description: partial contains 5.8S ribosomal RNA, internal transcribed spacer 2, and large subunit ribosomal RNA
Rfam family: 5.8S ribosomal RNA (bases 1-120)
Source: RNAcentral